GCUGCUAUGAUGAGCUGCUAACAUGUAAGAUGAACCUAUCAAAAGAUAGGUUCAUCAAUGAAAUAUAAAUGUUACGCUUGGCUUCUGAGCGCA
Dioscorea cayenensis subsp. rotundata (Guinea yam) is the source of this 93-nucleotide small nucleolar RNA. RefSeq annotates it as small nucleolar RNA R24. The transcript has a single exon. The record is from RefSeq and is a predicted model, not a curated record. Lineage: Eukaryota; Viridiplantae; Streptophyta; Magnoliopsida; Dioscoreales; Dioscoreaceae.